UUGGGUGGCUGAAUUAGAGAUCGGCACCUGUACAUUCAUUUAAUAAAUUGGAGUUGUAAUGUGUCUCUAAAUUUUGAAACUAAAGCGCAAAUCAUUGCGGAUUUUGGCCGUGAUGCA
Erwinia tracheiphila is the source of this 117-nucleotide non-coding RNA. NCBI's taxonomy places the organism in Bacteria, Pseudomonadati, Pseudomonadota, Gammaproteobacteria, Enterobacterales, Erwiniaceae. The record is from Rfam.